This is a small nucleolar RNA of Callithrix jacchus (white-tufted-ear marmoset), 76 nucleotides long. Its record names the gene SNORD115. It matches the Rfam family "Small nucleolar RNA SNORD115". From Rfam's summary of the family: HBII-52 is a member of the C/D class of snoRNAs, which contain the C (UGAUGA) and D (CUGA) box motifs. HBII-52 is encoded in a tandemly repeated array with another C/D snoRNA, HBII-85, in the Prader-Willi syndrome (PWS) region of chromosome 15. The record is from Ensembl. NCBI's taxonomy places the organism in Eukaryota, Metazoa, Chordata, Mammalia, Primates, Cebidae.
CAUUAUAGAAAUAUAUAAAAGAUUCUCUGAAGAGAGGUGAUGACUUAAAAAUCAUGCUCAAUAGGAUUACGCUGAG